CCCAAAUAAAGCAUUUACUAGUCYUAGUAUAGGCGAUAGAAAAGACAMMAUUGGAGCGAUAGAGAMUACGUACCGUAAGGGAAAGAUGAAAUAGCAGUGAAAAAAUAAGCUAAAAAUAGCAAAGAUCAACCCUUGUACCUUUUGCAUCAUGGUCUAGCAAGAAAAACCAAGCAAAAUGAAUUGAAGUUUGCCAUCCCGAAACCCAAGCGAGCUACUUACGAGCAGCUAUCAUUGAGCGAACCCGUCUCUGUUGCAAAAGAGUGGGAUGACUUGUUAGUAGAGGUGAAAAGCCAACCGAGCUGGGUGAUAGCUGGUUGCCUGUGAAACGAAUCUAAGUUCACUCUUAAUUCUUCUCCAAGGAACACCAGAACCCUAAUGAAGCGAAUUAAGGGCUACUUAAAGGAGGUACAGCUCCUUUAAAAAAGAAUACAAUCUCUACGAGCGGAUAAAUAAUUAAGAUACAAAAUUACUGUGGGCCCUCAAGCAGCCAUCAACAAAGAGUGCGUUAAAGCUCUGUGCUCUAAAAAUACAAGAACUAUAUGACUCCCUCCCCAUUAACAGGCUAACCUAUAACAAUAGGAGAAUUAAUGCUAGAAUGAGUAACCAGGGUUCUCCCUCUUCGACGCAAGCUUACAUCCGUACAUUAUUAACAAGCCACCAUAUACGA
Molecule: ribosomal RNA, 667 nt
Filed under: Phylloscopus yunnanensis (La Touche's leaf-warbler)
Lineage: Eukaryota; Metazoa; Chordata; Aves; Passeriformes; Phylloscopidae
Description: Abrornis yunnanensis (La Touche's leaf-warbler) partial 16S ribosomal RNA
Rfam family: Bacterial large subunit ribosomal RNA
Source: RNAcentral